This 492-nucleotide ribosomal RNA is filed under the name uncultured bacterium. Its description in RNAcentral is "partial 16S ribosomal RNA". It matches the Rfam family "Bacterial small subunit ribosomal RNA", at positions 29 to 507 of the family's 1533-position model. The record is from RNAcentral.
AGUGAACGCUGGCGGUAGGCCUAACACAUGCAAGUCGAACGGCAGCACAGUAAGAGCUUGCUCUUACGGGUGGCGAGUGGCGGACGGGUGAGGAAUACAUCGGAAUCUACUUUUUCGUGGGGGAUAACGUAGGGAAACUUACGCUAAUACCGCAUACGACCUACGGGUGAAAGCUGGGGAUCUUCGGACCUUGCGCGAUUGAAUGAUCCGAUGUCGGAUUAGCUAGUUGGCGGGGUAAAGGCCCACCAAGGCGACGAUCCGUAGCUGGUCUGAGAGGAUGAUCAGCCACACUGGAACUGAGACACGGUCCAGACUCCUACGGGAGGCAGCAGUGGGGAAUAUUGGACAAUGGGCGCAAGCCUGAUCCAGCCAUACCGCGUGGGUGAAGAAGGCCUUCGGGUUGUAAAGCCCUUUUGUUGGGAAAGAAAAGCAGCAGGUUAAUACCCCGCUGUUCUGACGGUACCCAAAGAAUAAGCACCGGCUAACUUCGUG